Molecule: ribosomal RNA, 231 nt
Filed under: uncultured bacterium
Lineage: Bacteria
Description: partial 16S ribosomal RNA
Rfam family: Bacterial small subunit ribosomal RNA
Source: RNAcentral
CGGAAUCACUGGGCUUAAAGGGCGCGUAGGCGGCUUACCAAGUCAGGGGUGAAAUUUUGCGGCUUAACCGUAACAGUGCCUUUGAUACUGGUAGGCUCGAGGGAGAUAGGGGUCUGCGGAACUUCCGGUGGAGCGGUGAAAUGCGUUGAUAUCGGAAGGAACGGCGGUGGCGAAAGCGGCAGACUGGAUCUCUUCUGACGCUGAGGCGCGAAAGCUAGGGGAGCAAACGGG